AUUGAACGCUGGCGGCAGGCUUAACACAUGCAAGUCGAGCGGAGCGAGGGUGCUUGCACCUUAGCUUAGCGGCGGACGGGUGAGUAAUGCUUAGGAAUCUGCCUAUUAGUGGGGGACAACAUUCCGAAAGGAAUGCUAAUACCGCAUACGCCCUACGGGGGAAAGCAGGGGAUCUUCAGACCUUGCGCUAAUAGAUGAGCCUAAGUCGGCUUAGCUAGUUGGUGGGGUAAAUGCCUACCAAGGCGACCAUCUGUAGCGGGUCUGAGAGGAUGAUCCGCCACCCUGGGACUGAGUCACGGCCCAGACUCCUACGGGAGGCAGCAGUGGGGAAUAUUGGACAAUGGGCGAAAGCCUGAUCCAGCCAUGCGGCGUGUGUGAAGAAGGCCUUUUGGUUGUAAAGCACUUUAAGCGAGGAGGAGGCUACUUAGAUUAAUACUCUGGGAUAGUGGACGUUACUCGCAGAAUAAGCACCGGCUAACUCUGUGCCAGCAGCCGCAGUAA
Molecule: ribosomal RNA, 501 nt
Filed under: uncultured bacterium
Lineage: Bacteria
Description: partial 16S ribosomal RNA
Rfam family: Bacterial small subunit ribosomal RNA
Source: RNAcentral